Molecule: ribosomal RNA, 225 nt
Filed under: Triticum aestivum (bread wheat)
Lineage: Eukaryota; Viridiplantae; Streptophyta; Magnoliopsida; Poales; Poaceae
Description: partial small subunit ribosomal RNA
Source: RNAcentral
AUGUGCAUUCCAAAGGAGAGAGGAGGGAUGGGCUUUCGUGAUAUACACAGUUUUAAUUUGGCACUCCUAGCAAAGCAAUGUUGGAGACUUAUUGAGUACCAUGAAUCGCUAUGUGCAAGGGUCCUACGUGCUAAAUAUUACCCUACUGGUGAACUGCUCAACUACAGUUUGAAACAAGGCUCUUCUUUUGUGUGGCAAAGUAUAUGGGCCGGAGUUCAAACAUUC